UUGGAGGGCAAGUCUGGUGCCAGCAGCCGCGGUAAUUCCAGCUCCAAUAGCGUAUAUUAAAGUUGUUGCAGUUAAAAAGCUCGUAGUUGAAUUUCGGGAUCAGACUGUCGGUCGUGCCUCGGUACGCACUGGCAUUAUUGGUUCCUACCUUCUGAAGAACCGCGAUGUCAUUAAUUUGGUGUCGCGGGGAAUCAGGACUGUUACUUUGAAAAAAUUAGAGUGUUUAAAGCAGGCGCACGCUUGAAUACAUUAGCAUGGAAUAAUGAAAUAGGACGUUUGAUUCUAUUUUGUUGGUUUCUAGGAUCGACGUAAUGAUUAAUAGGGAUAGUUGGGGGCAUUAGUAUUCAAUUGUCAGAGGUGAAAUUCUUGGAUUUAUUGAAGACUAACUACUGCGAAAGCAUUUGCCAAGGAUGUUUUCAUUAAUCAAGAACGAAAGUUAGGGGAUCGAAGACGAUCAGAUACCGUCGUAGUCUUAACCAUAAACUAUGCCGACUAGGGAUCGGAUGAUGUUAAUUUUAUAAUGACUCAUUCGGCGCCUUACGGGAAAC
RNAcentral lists this ribosomal RNA (548 nucleotides) under uncultured Glomus. RNAcentral's name for it is "SSU rRNA". It matches the Rfam family "Eukaryotic small subunit ribosomal RNA", at positions 548 to 1098 of the family's 1831-position model. Lineage: Eukaryota; Fungi; Glomeromycota; Glomeromycetes; Glomerales; Glomeraceae. The record is from RNAcentral.